This 1495-nucleotide ribosomal RNA is filed under the name metagenome. RNAcentral describes it as "bacterial SSU rRNA". It matches the Rfam family "Bacterial small subunit ribosomal RNA". The record is from RNAcentral.
GGAGUUUGAUCAUGGCUCAGAUUGAACGCUGGCGGCAGGCCUAACACAUGCAAGUCGAGCGGAUGAGAGGAGCUUGCUCCUUGAUUCAGCGGCGGACGGGUGAGUAAUGCCUAGGAAUCUGCCUAUUAGUGGGGGACAACGUUUCGAAAGGAACGCUAAUACCGCAUACGUCCUACGGGAGAAAGCAGGGGACCUUCGGGCCUUGCGCUAAUAGAUGAGCCUAGGUCGGAUUAGCUAGUUGGUGAGGUAAUGGCUCACCAAGGCGACGAUCCGUAACUGGUCUGAGAGGAUGAUCAGUCACACUGGAACUGAGACACGGUCCAGACUCCUACGGGAGGCAGCAGUGGGGAAUAUUGGACAAUGGGCGAAAGCCUGAUCCAGCCAUGCCGCGUGUGUGAAGAAGGUCUUCGGAUUGUAAAGCACUUUAAGUUGGGAGGAAGGGUUGUAGAUUAAUACUCUGCAAUUUUGACGUUACCGACAGAAUAAGCACCGGCUAACUCUGUGCCAGCAGCCGCGGUAAUACAGAGGGUGCAAGCGUUAAUCGGAAUUACUGGGCGUAAAGCGCGCGUAGGUGGUUCGUUAAGUUGGAUGUGAAAUCCCCGGGCUCAACCUGGGAACUGCAUUCAAAACUGUCGAGCUAGAGUAUGGUAGAGGGUGGUGGAAUUUCCUGUGUAGCGGUGAAAUGCGUAGAUAUCAGGAGGAACACCAGUGGCGAAGGCGACCACCUGGACUGAUACUGACACUGAGGUGCGAAAGUGUGGGGAGCAAACAGGAUUAGAUACCCUGGUAGUCCACGCCGUAAACGAUGUCGACUAGCCGUUGGGAGCCUUGAGCUCUUAGUGGCGCAGCUAACGCAUUAAGUCGACCGCCUGGGGAGUACGGCCGCAAGGUUAAAACUCAAAUGAAUUGACGGGGGCCCGCACAAGCGGUGGAGCAUGUGGUUUAAUUCGAAGCAACGCGAAGAACCUUACCUGGCCUUGACAUGCUGAGAACUUUCCAGAGAUGGAUUGGUGCCUUCGGGAACUCAGACACAGGUGCUGCAUGGCUGUCGUCAGCUCGUGUCGUGAGAUGUUGGGUUAAGUCCCGUAACGAGCGCAACCCUUGUCCUUAGUUACCAGCACGUUAUGGUGGGCACUCUAAGGAGACUGCCGGUGACAAACCGGAGGAAGGUGGGGAUGACGUCAAGUCAUCAUGGCCCUUACGGCCAGGGCUACACACGUGCUACAAUGGUCGGUACAAAGGGUUGCCAAGCCGCGAGGUGGAGCUAAUCCCAUAAAACCGAUCGUAGUCCGGAUCGCAGUCUGCAACUCGACUGCGUGAAGUCGGAAUCGCUAGUAAUCGUGAAUCAGAAUGUCACGGUGAAUACGUUCCCGGGCCUUGUACACACCGCCCGUCACACCAUGGGAGUGGGUUGCACCAGAAGUAGCUAGUCUAACCUUCGGGAGGACGGUUACCACGGUGUGAUUCAUGACUGGGGUGAAGUCGAAACAAGGUA